CCUACGGGAGGCAGCAGUAGGGAAUAUUGCUCAAUGGGGGAAACCCUGAAGCAGCAACGCCGCGUGAAGGAUGAAGGUUUUCGGAUUGUAAACUCCUUUUGUUAGAGAAGAUAAUGACGGUAUCUAACGAAUAAGCACCGGGUAACUCCGUGCCAGCAGCCGCGGUAAUACGGGGGGUGCAAGCGUUACUCGGAAUUACUGGGCGGAAAGAGCGCGUAGGCGGGAUAGCAAGUCAGAUGUGAAAUCCUAUGGCUUAACCAUAGAACUGCAUUUGAAACUGUUAUUCUAGAGUAUGGGAGAGGUAGGUGGAAUGCUUGGUGUAGGGGUAAAAUCCGUAGAGAUCAAGAGGAAUACUCAUUGCGAAGGCGACCUGCUAGAACAUAACUGACGCUGAUGCGCGAAAGCGUGGGGAGCAAACAGGAUUAGAUACCCUUGUAGUC
RNAcentral lists this ribosomal RNA (440 nucleotides) under uncultured bacterium. Its description in RNAcentral is "partial 16S ribosomal RNA". It matches the Rfam family "Bacterial small subunit ribosomal RNA", at positions 338 to 795 of the family's 1533-position model. The record is from RNAcentral.